This 252-nucleotide ribosomal RNA is filed under the name uncultured bacterium. RNAcentral's name for it is "partial 16S ribosomal RNA". It matches the Rfam family "Bacterial small subunit ribosomal RNA", at positions 524 to 775 of the family's 1533-position model. The record is from RNAcentral.
UACGAAGGGGGCUAGCGUUGCUCGGAAUCACUGGGCGUAAAGGGCGCGUAGGCGGACUCUUAAGUCGGGGGUGAAAGCCCAGGGCUCAACCCUGGAAUUGCCUUCGAUACUGAGAGUCUUGAGUUCGGAAGAGGUUGGUGGAACUGCGAGUGUAGAGGUGAAAUUCGUAGAUAUUCGCAAGAACACCAGUGGCGAAGGCGGCGAUCUGGGAAGAUACUGACGCUGAGGUGCGAAAGCGUGGGGAGCAACAGG